AUACUUACUUGGCAGGGGAGAUACCAUGAUCAUAAAGGUGAUUUUCCCAGGGUGAGACUCAUCCAUAGCACUGUAGGUGUACUGACCCUUGCAAUUUCCCCCAAUGUGGGAAACUUGACUGCAUAAUUUGGGGUAGUGGGGGACUGCGUUGGUGCUUUCCCCUG
Molecule: small nuclear RNA, 164 nt
Organism: Gopherus evgoodei (Goodes thornscrub tortoise)
Lineage: Eukaryota; Metazoa; Chordata; Testudines; Testudinidae
Gene: U1
Rfam family: U1 spliceosomal RNA
About the family: U1 is a small nuclear RNA (snRNA) component of the spliceosome (involved in pre-mRNA splicing).
Source: Ensembl